GGAGAGGUGUCCGAGUGGCCGAAGGAGCACGCUUGGAAAGCGUGUGUACCGCAAGGUACCGUGGGUUCGAAUCCCACCCUCUCCGCCA
RNAcentral lists this transfer RNA (88 nucleotides) under Dissulfurirhabdus thermomarina. RNAcentral describes it as "tRNA-Ser". It matches the Rfam family "tRNA". From Rfam's summary of the family: Transfer RNA (tRNA) molecules are approximately 80 nucleotides in length. Their secondary structure includes four short double-helical elements and three loops (D, anti-codon, and T loops). Further hydrogen bonds mediate the characteristic L-shaped molecular structure. tRNAs have two regions of fundamental functional importance: the anti-codon, which is responsible for specific mRNA codon recognition, and the 3' end, to which the tRNAs corresponding amino acid is attached (by aminoacyl-tRNA synthetases). tRNAs cope with the degeneracy of the genetic code in two manners: having more than one tRNA (with a specific anti-codon) for a particular amino acid; and 'wobble' base-pairing, i.e. permitting non-standard base-pairing at the 3rd anti-codon position. The record is from RNAcentral. Lineage: Bacteria; Pseudomonadati; Thermodesulfobacteriota; Dissulfuribacteria; Dissulfuribacterales; Dissulfuribacteraceae.